GACGAACGCUGGCGGCGUGCUUAGCACAUGCAAGUCGAACGGAAAGGCCUUUUCGGAGGUACUCGAGUGGCGAACGGGUGAGUAACACGUGGGUGAUCUGCCCUGCACUCUGGGAUAAGCCUGGGAAACUGGGUCUAAUACCGGAUAGGACCGCACUUUAGUGUGUGUGGUGGAAAGUUUUUUCGGUGUAGGAUGAGCCCGCGGCCUAUCAGCUUGUUGGUGGGGUAAUGGCCUACCAAGGCGGCGACGGGUAGCCGGACUGAGAGGUUGGUCGGCCACAUUGGGACUGAGAUACGGCCCAGACUCCUACGGGAGGCAGCAGUGGGGAAUAUUGCACAAUGGGCGCAAGCCUGAUGCAGCGACGCCGCGUGGGGGAUGACGGCCUUCGGGUUGUAAACUCCUUUCGCCAGGGACGAAGCGUUUUGUGACGGUACCUAGAGAAGAAGCACCGGCUAACUACGUG
This 463-nucleotide ribosomal RNA is filed under the name uncultured bacterium. RNAcentral describes it as "partial 16S ribosomal RNA". It matches the Rfam family "Bacterial small subunit ribosomal RNA", at positions 28 to 507 of the family's 1533-position model. The record is from RNAcentral.